UUUCUUAUAUAAAAUCCCGUCCACCAGCACGAGACUCCAGUGACGGCUUCAGCAACCUUGUGAACACAAGCUAGAGGAUCACUCGCAGUCACAGAAGUGCUAAAGCUCCACAAUGAACCUGAAAAUCGUAUUGUUGGUGGUGAUGGCGGUGCUGGGGACAGCGAUGGCCAGAGUGAUUAGCUUCAACAGACAGUUCCCUGGCCAGAGGAUAAGAGGUGUCACCAAUUACGGUACCCACUCCUUUGGCCCCAAUGGUUUCGACAGCAGACCUGUCGCCAGACUGGGAAGGCGAGGCUGAAAAGUGUUCACUCAAAGGACGCAACAAGCCACCCGGCACUCCCCCUACACCGUCUUGUUCCACACCACUGUAGCUUUAAGUGUCUCUCCUGCGUGUGUCACUUCAUACAGCCAGCAGGUGUUCGCGUGCUGAGUUACUAAUCCUUGACAUGUAAAUUUGAGGCUAUUUUGUCUCAAAACAGUACGUAUAGUCAUUUAAUGACUUUUAAAUACCUAAUGUUUACCGUUUUAAGGUAAAAUCAAAAGUAACUCCUUUAGUUGUCAGCUGCAACAGAACACAAAUCAUGUGCGUUUCGUUGAAGGUUUCUGUCACUUCUGCCUUCCUGCCUGUGGCGGGGCAAUUUUGCCAAGUGCGUGAGGCUCCUCACGGCACGCUGAGGACGAACUUUGUGACAGAAAUGUCCUUAUAAGUACAAGCAGUUGGUCGGGGUUCAUAUUCAUACCCAAGCCAGGGAUCAUGUUUUCAAGAUAAUUGUUUUGCAAGAGUGUUCCUGGCUAACUUACAACCUUUACGAGACACUUAGGAAAGAGUAAAAUUACAAUUUUCAUCAGGUGUAACCGCUAAAAUGCACACAGGACACUUCAGUCACCCGUAAAUGCUAUAAGUGCUACCCUGAGCCUCGCCUCCCACCACAUGCAGGAAUGUGUAGUUACUCUAGUACCUGACAAGUAUGUUUGCCAAUAUUGUCCCGAGUCACUUGUUGCCUUCAUUUAGCGACUCAAAUUUUUGCCUGUACAUUUCUUUCCUCCCGCGUGCUGUGACGUGCGAGAGUGUGCUAGUUGCCUUCAUGAAAGGAUGCAUUGUGUAAUUGUUGUGUUUACAGUGACAGGGAAGUCUUAUCGUACACAGAUACACAUGCUUAAUGUUUCAUUUGAUGGAACUCUUUAGUACUUUAAGUUUAAACAUAUUUGAUGUGAUAGGAACACUUGUGAUGUUCUUUAUAUUGUUAUUAUUGUUUUUUUGUUUUUGGGUGCAUAAGGAAAGCUUUGUGAUAAUCCAUUAUUUACUCAGAUUUUGUACUGCAUAAACUAUUAUGGGCAUUA
Long non-coding RNA from Scylla paramamosain (green mud crab), 1341 nucleotides. RefSeq lists it as uncharacterized. The record is from RefSeq and is a predicted model, not a curated record. NCBI's taxonomy places the organism in Eukaryota, Metazoa, Arthropoda, Malacostraca, Decapoda, Portunidae. The transcript has 4 exons.